RNAcentral lists this unclassified non-coding RNA (206 nucleotides) under uncultured Tricholomataceae. RNAcentral's name for it is "sequence contains ITS2". The record is from RNAcentral. Lineage: Eukaryota; Fungi; Basidiomycota; Agaricomycetes; Agaricales; Tricholomataceae.
AAUUCUCAACCCUUUCAGCUUUUGCGAGCUGGAUUGGCUUGGAUUGUGGGGGUUUGCGGGCUUCUCAGAAGUCGGCUCCUCUUAAAUGCAUUAGCGGAACCUUUGUGGACCAGCUUUGGUGUGAUAAUUAUCUACGCCAUGGUUGUGAAGCAGUUUUACAUGGGGUUCAGCUUCUAAUCGUCCAUUGACUUGGACAACUUUUGACA